This 1085-nucleotide ribosomal RNA is filed under the name Salmonella enterica. Its description in RNAcentral is "partial 23S ribosomal RNA". It matches the Rfam family "Bacterial large subunit ribosomal RNA", at positions 1 to 1117 of the family's 2925-position model. Lineage: Bacteria; Pseudomonadati; Pseudomonadota; Gammaproteobacteria; Enterobacterales; Enterobacteriaceae. The record is from RNAcentral.
GGGUUGUGAGGUUAAGCGACUAAGCGUACACGGUGGAUGCCCUGGCAGUCAGAGGCGAUGAAGGGCGUGCUAAUCUGCGAUAAGCGCCGGUAAGGUGAUAUGAACCGUUAUAACCGGCGAUACCCGAAUGGGGAAACCCAGUGUGAUUCGUCACACUAUCAUUAACUGAAUCCAUAGGUUAAUGAGGCGAACCGGGGGAACUGAAACAUCUAAGUACCCCGAGGAAAAGAAAUCAACCGAGAUUCCCCCAGUAGCGGCGAGCGAACGGGGAGGAGCCCAGAGCCUGAAUCAGCAUGUGUGUUAGUGGAAGCGUCUGGAAAGGCGCGCGAUACAGGGUGACAGCCCCGUACACAAAAGCGUAUGUGCUGUGAGCUCGAUGAGUAGGGCGGGACACGUGGUAUCCUGUCUGAAUAUGGGGGGACCAUCCUCCAAGGCUAAAUACUCCUGACUGACCGAUAGUGAACCAGUACCGUGAGGGAAAGGCGAAAAGAACCCCGGCGAGGGGAGUGAAAAAGAACCUGAAACCGUGUACGUACAAGCAGUGGGAGCACCCUUUGGGGUGUGACUGCGUACCUUUUGUAUAAUGGGUCAGCGACUUAUAUUCUGUAGCAAGGUUAACCGAAUAGGGGAGCCGGAGGGAAACCGAGUCUUAAUUGGGCGUUAAGUUGCAGGGUAUAGACCCGAAACCCGGUGAUCUAGCCAUGGGCAGGUUGAAGGUUGGGUAACACUAACUGGAGGACCGAACCGACUAAUGUUGAAAAAUUAGCGGAUGACCUGUGGCUGGGGGUGAAAGGCCAAUCAAACCGGGAGAUAGCUGGUUCUCCCCGAAAGCUAUUUAGGUAGCGCCUCGUGAAUUCAUCUCCGGGGGUAGAGCACUGUUUCGGCUAGGGGGUCAUCCCGACUUACCAACCCGAUGCAAACUGCGAAUACCGGAGAAUGUUAUCACGGGAGACACACGGCGGGUGCUAACGUCCGUCGUGAAGAGGGAAACAACCCAGACCGCCAGCUAAGGUCCCAAAGUCAUGGUUAAGUGGGAAACGAUGUGGGAAGGCACAGACAGCCAGGAUGUUGGCUUAGAAGCAGCC